This 487-nucleotide ribosomal RNA is filed under the name Cronobacter sp. cc320. RNAcentral describes it as "bacterial SSU rRNA". It matches the Rfam family "Bacterial small subunit ribosomal RNA", at positions 30 to 504 of the family's 1533-position model. The record is from RNAcentral. Lineage: Bacteria; Pseudomonadati; Pseudomonadota; Gammaproteobacteria; Enterobacterales; Enterobacteriaceae.
AUUGAACGCUGGCGGCAGGCCUAACACAUGCAAGUCGAACGGUAACAGGGAGCAGCUUGCUGCUCUGCUGACGAGUGGCGGACGGGUGAGUAAUGUCUGGGAAACUGCCUGAUGGAGGGGGAUAACUACUGGAAACGGUAGCUAAUACCGCAUAACGUCUACGGACCAAAGUGGGGGACCUUCGGGCCUCAUGCCAUCAGAUGUGCCCAGAUGGGAUUAGCUAGUAGGUGGGGUAACGGCUCACCUAGGCGACGAUCCCUAGCUGGUCUGAGAGGAUGACCAGCCACACUGGAACUGAGACACGGUCCAGACUCCUACGGGAGGCAGCAGUGGGGAAUAUUGCACAAUGGGCGCAAGCCUGAUGCAGCCAUGCCGCGUGUAUGAAGAAGGCCUUCGGGUUGUAAAGUACUUUCAGCGGGGAGGAAGGYGUUGUGGUUAAUAACCACAGCRAUUGACGUUACCCGCAGAAGAAGCACCGGCUAACUCC